Podarcis lilfordi (Lilford's wall lizard) is the source of this 70-nucleotide non-coding RNA. The record is from the annotation of a GenBank genome assembly. Lineage: Eukaryota; Metazoa; Chordata; Lepidosauria; Squamata; Lacertidae.
UGUGUGUGUGUGUGUGUGUGUGUGUGUGCGUGCACGCGUGCGCACAUACACACACACAUAUAUGCAUGUG